ACUUCCGCAAUGGACGAAAGUCUGACGGAGCACGCCGCGUGAGUGAUGAAGGUUUUCGGAUCGUAAAGCUCUGUUGUUAGGGAAGAACAAGUACCGUUCGAAUAGGGCGGUACCUUGACGGUACCUAACCAGAAAGCCACGGCUAACUACGUGCCAGCAGCCGCGGUAAUACGUAGGUGGCAAGCGUUGUCCGGAAUUAUUGGGCGUAAAGGGCUCGCAGGCGGUUUCUUAAGUCUGAUGUGAAAGCCCCCGGCUCAACCGGGGAGGGUCAUUGGAAACUGGGGAACUUGAGUGCAGAAGAGGAGAGUGGAAUUCCACGUGUAGCGGUGAAAUGCGUAGAGAUGUGGAGGAACACCAGUGGCGAAGGCGACUCUCUGGUCUGUAACUGACGCUGAGGAGCGAAAGCGUGGGGAGCGAACAGGAUUAGAUACCCUGGUAGUCCACGCCGUAAACGAUGAGUGCUAAGUGUUAGGGGGUUUCCGCCCCUUAGUGCUGCAGCUAACGCAUUAAGCACUCCGCCUGGGGAGUACGGUCGCAAGACUGAAACUCAAAGGAAUUGACGGGGGCCCGCACAAGCGGUGGAGCAUGUGGUUUAAUUCGAAGCACCGCGAAGAACCUUACCAGGUCUUUGACAUCCUCUGACAAUCCUAGAGAUAGGACGUCCCCUUCGGGGGCANAAUGACAGGUGGUGCAUGGUUGUC
This 701-nucleotide ribosomal RNA is filed under the name Bacillus tequilensis. RNAcentral describes it as "bacterial SSU rRNA". It matches the Rfam family "Bacterial small subunit ribosomal RNA", at positions 362 to 1053 of the family's 1533-position model. Lineage: Bacteria; Bacillati; Bacillota; Bacilli; Caryophanales; Bacillaceae. The record is from RNAcentral.